Molecule: ribosomal RNA, 253 nt
Filed under: uncultured bacterium
Lineage: Bacteria
Description: partial 16S ribosomal RNA
Rfam family: Bacterial small subunit ribosomal RNA
Source: RNAcentral
UACGUAGGGUGCAAGCGUUGUCCGGAAUUAUUGGGCGUAAAGAGCUCGUAGGCGGUCUGUUGCGUCGGCUGUGAAAACCCGGGGCUCAACUCCGGGCCUGCAGCCGAUACGGGCAGACUAGAGUUCGGCAGGGGAGACUGGAAUUCCUGGUGUAGCGGUGAAAUGCGCAGAUAUCAGGAGGAACACCGGUGGCGAAGGCGGGUCGCUGGGCAGGUCCUGACGCUGAGGUGCGAAAGCGUGGGGAGCAAACAGG